RNAcentral lists this ribosomal RNA (253 nucleotides) under uncultured bacterium. RNAcentral's name for it is "partial 16S ribosomal RNA". It matches the Rfam family "Bacterial small subunit ribosomal RNA", at positions 524 to 776 of the family's 1533-position model. The record is from RNAcentral.
UACAGAGGGUGCGAGCGUUAAUCGGAAUUACUGGGCGUAAAGCGCGCGUAGGCGGCUUUGCAAGUCGGGUGUGAAAUCCCCAGGCUUAACCUGGGAACUGCAUUCGAGACUGCAUUGCUAGAGUAUGGGAGAGGGAAGUGGAAUUUCCGGUGUAGCGGUGAAAUGCGUAGAUAUCGGAAGGAACAUCAGUGGCAAAAGCGACUUCCUGGACCAAUACUGACGCUCAUGUGCGAAAGCGUGGGGAGCAAACAGG